UGGGGAAUAUUGGACAAUGGGCGAAAGCCUGAUCCAGCCAUGCCGCGUGAGUGACGAAGGCCUUCGGGUCGUAAAGCUCUGUCGGAGGGAACGAAUGCUCUUGAGGUUAAUAGCCUCGGGAGGUGACGGUACCCUCAAAGGAAGCACCGGCUAACUCUGUGCCAGCAGCCGCGGUAAUACAGAGGGUGCAAGCGUUGUUCGGAAUCAUUGGGCGUAAAGGGCGUGUAGGCGGUUUGUUAAGUCAUGUGUGAAAUCCCUCGGCUCAACCGGGGAACGACGCAUGAAACUGGCAAGCUAGAGUACCAAAGAGGAUGGUGGAAUUCCCAGUGUAGAGGUGAAAUUCGUAGAUAUUGGGAGGAACAUCGGUGGCGAAGGCGUCCAUCUGGAUGAAGACUGACACUGAGGCGCGAAAGCGUGGGGAGCAAACAGGAUUAGAUACCCAAGUAGUCCCUGAGCGGGCUGGCAAGGCGC
RNAcentral lists this ribosomal RNA (471 nucleotides) under uncultured bacterium. RNAcentral's name for it is "bacterial SSU rRNA". It matches the Rfam family "Bacterial small subunit ribosomal RNA", at positions 355 to 823 of the family's 1533-position model. The record is from RNAcentral.